This 496-nucleotide ribosomal RNA is filed under the name uncultured bacterium. RNAcentral describes it as "partial 16S ribosomal RNA". It matches the Rfam family "Bacterial small subunit ribosomal RNA", at positions 29 to 507 of the family's 1533-position model. The record is from RNAcentral.
AUGAACGCUGGCGGCGUGCCUAAUACAUGCCAGUCGAGCGAACAGACGAGGAGCUUGCUCCUCUGACGUUAGCGGCGGACGGGUGAGUAACACGUGGAUAACCUACCUAUAAGACUGGGAUAACUUCGGGAAACCGGAGCUAAUACCGGAUAAUAUAUUGAACCGCAUGGUUCAAUAGUGAAAGACGGUUUUGCUGUCACUUAUAGAUGGAUCCGCGCCGCAUUAGCUAGUUGGUAAGGUAACGGCUUACCAAGGCAACGAUGCGUAGCCGACCUGAGAGGGUGAUCGGCCACACUGGAACUGAGACACGGUCCAGACUCCUACGGGAGGCAGCAGUAGGGAAUCUUCCGCAAUGGGCGAAAGCCUGACGGAGCAACGCCGCGUGAGUGAUGAAGGUCUUCGGAUCGUAAAACUCUGUUAUUAGGGAAGAACAAAUGUGUAAGUAUCUAUGCACGUCUUGACGGUACCUAAUCAGAAAGCCACGGCUAACUACGUG